This 88-nucleotide transfer RNA is filed under the name Streptomyces clavuligerus. RNAcentral's name for it is "tRNA-Ser". The record is from RNAcentral. Lineage: Bacteria; Bacillati; Actinomycetota; Actinomycetes; Kitasatosporales; Streptomycetaceae.
UGGCGGAGGAUACGAGAUUCGAACUCGUGAGGGGUUGCCCCCAACACGCUUUCCAAGCGUGCGCCCUAGGCCACUAGGCGAAUCCUCC